GGAGACCAAGUGAGCCACCAAGCAACUAGGAGAGUGGAGCACUAAAUACAGAGUGUGACAGGCACCAGGAAGCAGGGAGCAAGGGGGAAGGGGGCCAUUCCAGAGGGAGGUUCCCUGAGAGAGGAGACCACCUUGAGAGCACCAGCUGUGAUAGGGCAGGGCAGCAGGUGCCUCAAGCAGGGGACACACAGGCACGUUAGGUGAUGGAGGACUAGGUGAGGAAAUCCUGACUUUAAGGGCCGGGUUGUGGCUCAGUGGUAGAUGCUUUUCUCUCAUAUAUAGGGCCCUGUGUUCAAUCUCUAGUACUGGAAAAAAAAAGUAAGAAAGAAAGAAAAUUCUUGGAUAUGAGACAAGUUCUGCAUGUACAACCCAAAGUCUUAAGGAUAGGGAUUUGGACAGAUACUCACAUACCUGUGUUCCUGGCAGCUGUAUUUAAGUAGCUGAGAGGUGGAAACUGCCUGAGUGCCCAUCAGCAAAUGAUCAGGUAAACUAAAUGUGAUCAUGUGAUGUGUGCAUGCAACGGGCUAUUAUUCAGCUACAAAAAAUGUAAUUAUUUUUUUCCACGUAGGGAAUCGAACCCAGGGCCUCAUGCAUGUGGGGCAAGUGCUGUACUCCUGAGCUACCCCAGCCCCAGAAUAAUGUUCUGAUGCCUGCUUCUGUGUGGAUCAACCUCAAAAACAUCUUGCUAAGUGAAAUAAGCCAGCCAGGGAAGUUAUAUCUUGCAUAAUCAUUUGUAUGAAAUGUGCAGAAUAGGCAAUCCAUAAAGACUGAGCAGCUUGGUGGUGGCCAGGGCUGGAGGGACAGGGAGUGGCUGCUUAGUGGCUGCAGGGUUUCCUCUCAAAAUGAUGAGAACAUUCUGGAACUGAAUUGAGGCGUCGGUCACACAACAUUGGGAAUUCACUAAAUGCCAUUGAAUUGUUCACUUUAAAAUGGUUGAUUUUGUUGUGUGAAUUUCACUUCAUUAAAAAAAAAAAACUUCCACAGAAAACUCAGCAGCACAGGGAUGUGUUGGGAGAGAAGAUUCUGGGAGAGCUUUAUUAGUUCUGUUAGGACACGAAAGAUUCAUGAGGGAGG
This 1074-nucleotide long non-coding RNA is filed under the name Marmota monax (woodchuck). The record is from RNAcentral. Lineage: Eukaryota; Metazoa; Chordata; Mammalia; Rodentia; Sciuridae.